RNAcentral lists this ribosomal RNA (433 nucleotides) under uncultured bacterium. RNAcentral describes it as "partial 16S ribosomal RNA". It matches the Rfam family "Bacterial small subunit ribosomal RNA", at positions 29 to 507 of the family's 1533-position model. The record is from RNAcentral.
AACGAACGCUGGCGGCAUGCCUAACACAUGCAAGUCGAACGAGACCUUCGGGUCUAGUGGCGCACGGGUGCGUAACGCGUGGGAACCUGCCCUUAGGUUCGGAAUAACUCCCCGAAAGGGGUGCUAAUACCGGAUAAUGUCUUCGGACCAAAGAUUUAUCGCCUUUGGAUGGGCCCGCGUUGGAUUAGCUAGUUGGUAGGGUAAAAGCCUACCAAGGCGACGAUCCAUAGCUGGUCUGAGAGGAUGAUCAGCCACACUGGGACUGAGACACGGCCCAGACUCAUACGGGAGGCAGCAGUGGGGAAUAUUGGACAAUGGGCGAAAGCCUGAUCCAGCAAUGCCGCGUGAGUGAUGAAGGCCUUAGGGUUGUAAAGCUCUUUUACCCGGGAUGAUAAUGACAGUACCGGGAGAAUAAGCGCCGGCUAACUCCGUG